GUAGGUAUAAUUUAAAUAAAAUACUAGAUUGUGAUUCUAAAAAUAGAAGUUAAAUUCUUCUUACCCACC
Molecule: transfer RNA, 69 nt
Filed under: Pelobates cultripes (western spadefoot toad)
Lineage: Eukaryota; Metazoa; Chordata; Amphibia; Anura; Pelobatidae
Description: tRNA-His
Rfam family: tRNA
About the family: Transfer RNA (tRNA) molecules are approximately 80 nucleotides in length. Their secondary structure includes four short double-helical elements and three loops (D, anti-codon, and T loops).
Source: RNAcentral